CUGGUUGAUCCUGCCAGUUGUCAUAUGCUUGUUUCAAGGACUAAGCCAUGCAAGUGUGAGAGUACUCGGGACUUGUCUCGAGAGGUCUGUGUACGGCUCAUUAAACGGUUUAUUGUCUACCCAACGAAGGAUGUGCAUUUGCCACCCCAACGGGAUAACUUUGCUAACUGCAAAGCUAAUACCUGUAAGAAAAACCUUGUACCUUCAAAACAGGGAGGUGACCUUGGUUGCCUUUCUGUGGUCCGAGGUGCGCUUCGCCGAAACAAAAACCAACGCCGAUGUUUCGGCAGCUACUACUGUUGAGGCAGGCGAAUGUCGCGAAAGCGUCCUUUGGACGCGUUGUUGGACGAAUUUACCACCUAUCAGGUUGAAGGUAGUAUAGUUGACUACCUUGCCCUUGACGGGUAACGGGGAAUUGGGGUUCGAUUCCGGAGAGGGUGCUUGAGAAAUGGCAACCAUGACUACGGUCAGCAGCAGGCGCGCAAAUUGCCCAAUGCCAAUACCUGGCGAGGCAGCGACGAAAAAUAAUAACUUUGAUGCACAUACGUGUGUCAGAGAUUGCAAUGGACUGUAUCCAGAAACACUGAUGAGUAUCAAUUGGAGGAAAAGUCUGGUGCCA
RNAcentral lists this ribosomal RNA (619 nucleotides) under uncultured eukaryote. RNAcentral describes it as "bacterial SSU rRNA". It matches the Rfam family "Eukaryotic small subunit ribosomal RNA", at positions 4 to 569 of the family's 1831-position model. The record is from RNAcentral.